This 820-nucleotide ribosomal RNA is filed under the name marine metagenome. RNAcentral's name for it is "bacterial SSU rRNA". It matches the Rfam family "Bacterial small subunit ribosomal RNA", at positions 428 to 1266 of the family's 1533-position model. The record is from RNAcentral.
AAGCUCUUUCGUCGGGGAAGAAAAUGACUGUACCCGAAUAAGAAGGUCCGGCUAACUUCGUGCCAGCAGCCGCGGUAAUACGAAGGGACCUAGCGUAGUUCGGAAUUACUGGGCUUAAAGAGUUCGUAGGUGGUUAAAAUAGUUGGUUGUGAAAUCCCGGAGCUUAACUCCGGAACUGCAAUCAAAACUUUUUAGCUAGAGUAUGAUAGAGGAAAGCAGAAUUUCUAGUGUAGAGGUGAAAUUCGUAGAUAUUAGAAAGAAUACCAAUUGCGAAGGCAGCUUUCUGGAUCUUUACUGACACUGAGGAACGAAAGCAUGGGUAGCGAAGAGGAUUAGAUACCCUCGUAGUCCAUGCCGUAAACGAUGUGUGUUAGACGUUGGAAAUUUAUUUUCAGUGUCGCAGCGAAAGCAGUAAACACACCGCCUGGGGAGUACGACCGCAAGGUUAAAACUCAAAUGAAUUGACGGGGACCCGCACAAGUAGUGGAGCAUGUGGUUUAAUUCGAAGAUACGCGCAGAACCUUACCAACACUUGACAUGUUCGUCGCGACUUUAAGAGAUUAAAGUUUUCGGUUCGGCCGGACGAAACACAGGUGCUGCAUGGCUGUCGUCAGCUCGUGUCGUGAGAUGUUGGGUUAAGUCCCGCAACGAGCGCAACCCUCACUUUUAGUUGCCAUCAUUUAGUUGGGCACUCUGAAAGAACUGCCGGUGAUAAGCUGGAGGAAGGUGGGGAUGACGUCAAGUCCUCAUGGCCCUUACGUGUUGGGCUACACACGUGCUACAAUGGCAUAUACAACAGGAAGCGAGAUGGCGACAUCAA